Molecule: long non-coding RNA, 490 nt
Filed under: Papio anubis (olive baboon)
Lineage: Eukaryota; Metazoa; Chordata; Mammalia; Primates; Cercopithecidae
Description: lncRNA (ENSPANG00000050797.1)
Source: RNAcentral
GUGAGAAACAGCUUUCUGUCAUCAAAUAAAUGUGUCCAGCACUAUUUUGGUGACUUAGAAGUAUUCGAUUGUGGAAUAUACUCUCAUUUAUUCAAGUAAUUUUCUGACUGCAUGACUGUUUUAUUUUACCUAGCUCUAUGAGAUGGCCACAGUGCUUUGAAUGUUUGUCCCUCAAAACUCAUGUUGAACCUUAAUCUCCAGUGUAACAGUAUUAAAAGGUAGGACCUUUAAGAGAUGAUUGGAUCAUGAAGGCUUUGCUGUCAUGAAUGGGUUAAUCCAUUCACGGAUUAGUGAAUUAGUGGGUGACUGGAUUAAGGGGUUAUCACGGGAGUGGGUCGGUUUAAAAGCCGGUUUGACUUGCUCUUGCCCUCACUGGUGUGUGCUCUGCCGAGUGACGGUGCAGGAGGGCGCCCUCACUGGAUGCCUGUGCCUUCAUGUUAGACUUUCCAGCCUCCAAAAUGAUGAAUCAACUCAAGCAAGGAGGAGCUAA